GCAGAGUGUGUGUUUGUAUGAGUGUGUGUAUAUAAUGCAGUGUGUUUGUAUGAGUGUGUGCUUAUAUACACACUCAUACAAACACACUCUGC
This is a non-coding RNA of Pelobates cultripes (western spadefoot toad), 92 nucleotides long. The record is from the annotation of a GenBank genome assembly. NCBI's taxonomy places the organism in Eukaryota, Metazoa, Chordata, Amphibia, Anura, Pelobatidae.